UACGGGGGGGGCAAGCGUUGUUCGGAAUUACUGGGCGUAAAGGGCUCGUAGGCGGCCAACUAAGUCCGACGUGAAAUCCCCAGGCUUAACCUGGGAACUGCGUCGGAUACUGGAUGGCUUGAAUUCGGGAGAGGGAUGCAGAAUUCCAGGUGUAGCGGUGAAAUGCGUAGAUAUCUGGAGGAAUACCGGUGGCGAAGGCGGCAUCCUGGACUGACAUUGACGCUGAUGAGCGAAAGCUAGGGGAGCAAACAGG
RNAcentral lists this ribosomal RNA (253 nucleotides) under uncultured bacterium. RNAcentral's name for it is "partial 16S ribosomal RNA". It matches the Rfam family "Bacterial small subunit ribosomal RNA", at positions 524 to 776 of the family's 1533-position model. The record is from RNAcentral.